This 48-nucleotide non-coding RNA is filed under the name Schistosoma mansoni. Lineage: Eukaryota; Metazoa; Platyhelminthes; Trematoda; Strigeidida; Schistosomatidae. The record is from RNAcentral.
AUCCAACUAAUGAGUCCCAAAUAGGACGAAGUGACGCACAUCCUGGAU